GGGAGGUGUGGGGAGGGGACAGAGCUUGGGGGGAUGGGUGGAGGGACAGAUAGGGGCAUGGGAGGUCAGGGGCCAGGCAGGGAGUGCAGGUCUGGGCUGCACUGUCCCCUCAGCAAGAAGUUCCUGUGGGAGGAGCUGGAACUGGUGCGGGAGGAGGUGACCUUCAUCUAUCAGAAGCUCCAGGCGCAGGAGGAUGAGAUCUCAGAGAACCUGGUGAACAUUCAGAAAAUGCAGAAAACGCAGGUGAAAUGCCGCAAAAUCCUGACCAAGAUGAAGCAGCAGGGUCACGAGACAACUGCCCGGCCGGAGACUGAAGAGAUACCGCAGGGAGCCAGUGGCUGCUGGAAGGAUGACCUCCAGAAGGAACUGAGUGAUAUAUGGUGAUGCCCAGCCCACAGUCUGACCCCUGACCCUCCUCUGAACCCCUUCCCCCAACGGGAUCUGGCAGCGACCACCAGAACCUGGAGCCCACCUGAGUCCAGACCUCCCUCACCCCCUAGGACUCACCCCCACCACGGCCCCCAACCUUAGCCCUACUGCUGUCCA
This 546-nucleotide small RNA is filed under the name Pongo abelii (Sumatran orangutan). Its description in RNAcentral is "retained intron". Lineage: Eukaryota; Metazoa; Chordata; Mammalia; Primates; Hominidae. The record is from RNAcentral.